GGGGGCAGAGGCUGGCGCCAGCCGGCCUUGCUGGGAGCCGGGUGUGUGUGCGCGCGGCGGGCGGAGGGGCCCGGGCCCGGGGCAUGGAGAGCCUGCUGGAGAACCCGGUGCGCGCCGUGCUCUACCUGAAGGAGCUCACCGCCAUCGUGCAGAACCAGCAGAGCCUCAUCCACACCCAGCGCCAGCGCAUCGACGAGCUGGAGCGGCGCCUGGACGAGCUCAGCACCGAGAACCGCAGCCUCCGCCAGCAGCACCCGGCUCCCGCCGCCGAGCCCCAGCCGCGCCCGCCGGCUCCCCCCGCGCCCGCCCCGCAGCCCGAGCCGGAGCCGCUUCAGCACCCCCAACAGCUCCCGGCGCCGCAGCCGCUCCAGAGCAGGCAGGCUCAGCCGGGCCCCAGCGGCGGCGGCAGCAGCAGCAGCAGCCGGGCUCCGGCUCACCAGCACCCCCCGCUCCAGCCCCAUCAGCACCACCCGGAGAAAGACAGCAGGGAGAGGGGCUGCUGCACCACCCUCCUCCAGCACAAACCCGCCCCGGCCAUCGGCAAAGGCGCCCUGAGCAGGAGACCAGAGAAUGAAAAUGUUUUACACCAGUUCUGCUGCCCAGCAGCUGAUGCAGAGCAGAAGCCUUCAUCUCUGGACUCCUCACCAAGUGACGAUUCCUGUGGUUCCACCAGCAAGAAACCCGGGUGUGAAACGGAGGAUCCGAAGGAGGCCGGCAGACACAGUGGCCAGGAAGGCAGGUCCGACACCCUGAUGCUAAAAGCCCAGCAUGCAGAGCGGCAGGAGGAGCAGGCAGCGGGGUGCUCCCCUCUGGUGCAGAAGCCCAGCCUCCACCACACGGGUUCCCCAGUGAGAGUGCAGCGCAGCAAAGGGACGGCCACGUGUUCCCAUGCAGCUGCCUCCGAUUAUGAGCUCUCUCUUGACUUAAAGAAUAAACAGAUCGAAAUGCUAGAGCACAAAUACGGAGGGCACCUGGUCUCUCGCAGGGCAGCCUGCACCAUCCAGACUGCCUUCCGCCAGUACCAACUCAGCAAAAACUUUGAGAAGAUCCGGAACUCCCUGCUGGAGAGCCGCAUGCCCCGCCGAAUCUCAUUAAGAAAAGUCCGGGUCCAGAACUCUGAAAGCUUCUCUGCUGAUAAAGCCCUGAUGGAAGGGUACAACUUUGUGGGCAUCCCCUUGGUGAGGUCCCCAUCUUUGCCAGUCACCAUCAGCGGGGCCCUGACUGAAUUGGAGGACUCUUUCACGGAACAGGUUCAGUCCCUGGCCAAGUCUAUUGAUGAUGCCCUCAGUACAUGGAGCCUGAAGACCAUGUGUUCCCUUCAAGAUGGCAGCUCAUACCAGAUCAGAGAAACCUUCAGUGCCAGCUCAAUGCAGCCGAACCAGGACUUGGAAGCUGAACUGAGGGAGCAAGAGAAGGAGGAGGGACUGCUGCCAGAUACUUUGCCCAAGAGCAGCAGCACCCUCAUGAUGGCCUUCCGGGAUGUCACGGUCCAGAUUGACAACAAGAAUAUCUCAGUCUCAUCUUCUACCUCGGUGUCCAUGGCGAACUGUCUUGGCAGCAGUGCCCAGGCUGGGCUCUCUCAAGCUGCCAGAAUUGAAGAAAGCCCAGGGGAUGGGGAAAAGGAAGACAAAAAGGCCCAGGCUGCCCUGGAAGGGCUGCCGGACUCCAGGGUCCUCCAGAACAGUCAUACCUUCACCGAGGUGAACGUUAACACCAAUGGUUUGGGGGGAGGGGUGAUGGAGCAAGGACAAAUGGUGGUGCAGAAACUCCAGUUUGACUCAAACAAUGAGACUGGGCAGGGCAAGGGCUCUGAGUCUGAAAAUGCAGACAACUCAGAGCAGCUGAGCAGCAGCAGCACCUCCACGUCAGCCAAGUCGGCAUCUGAGGUAUCUUCUAAGGAAGCGCUGCAGGCCAUGAUUCUGAGCCUCCCACGGUACCACUGUGAGAAUCCAGCCAGCUGCAAAUCUCCCACGCUUUCCACAGACACCAUGAGGAAGCGGCUCUACCGCAUUGGGCUGAACCUCUUUAACAUAAAUCCAGACAAAGGGAUCCAGUUCCUGAUCUCUCGGGGCUUCAUCCCGGACACGCCCAUUGGGGUGGCACAUUUCCUGCUCCAGCGCAAGGGCCUCAGCCGCCAGAUGAUCGGGGAGUUCCUGGGCAACAGCAAGAAACAGUUCAACAGGGACGUCCUGGACUGUGUGGUGGACGAGAUGGACUUCUCAGGCAUGGAGCUGGAUGAAGCUUUGCGGAAAUUCCAGGCCCACAUCCGUGUGCAGGGAGAGGCUCAGAAGGUGGAACGGCUAAUUGAGGCCUUCAGCCAGCGGUACUGUAUGUGUAACCCGGACGUGGUCCAGCAGUUCCAUAACCCGGACACCAUUUUCAUCCUGGCCUUCGCGAUCAUCCUCCUCAACACGGACAUGUACAGCCCCAACAUCAAACCCGACAGGAAGAUGAUGCUGGAGGACUUCAUCCGGAACCUGAGAGGGGUGGACGACGGCGCUGACAUUCCCCGGGAGCUGGUAGUGGGGAUCUAUGAGAGGAUCCAACAGAAAGAGCUCAAAUCCAAUGAGGAUCAUGUAACCUAUGUCACCAAGGUGGAGAAAUCCAUCGUAGGGAUGAAAACAGUUCUGUCUGUGCCACAUCGCCGGCUGGUCUGCUGCAGCCGCCUUUACGAGGUGACGGAUGUGAAUAAAAUGCAGAAGCAGGCUGCUCAUCAGAGGGAAGUGUUCCUCUUCAAUGACCUGCUGGUGAUCCUCAAGCUUUGCCCCAAGAAGAAAAGCGCCUCAACCUACACAUUUUGCAAGUCAGUUGGCCUGUUGGGGAUGCAGUUCCAUCUUUUUGAGAAUGAAUAUUACCCCCAUGGCAUCACCCUGGUGACUCCACUUUCGGGCUCAGACAAGAAACAGGUACUACACUUCUGUGCUCUGGGUUCAGAGGAAAUGCAGAAAUUUGUGGAAGAUCUAAAAGAGUCAAUAGCAGAGGUGAUGGAGCUAGAACAGAUACGAAUUGAAUGGGAGCUGGAGAAGCAGCAGGGGGCAAAGACUCUUACGUUAAAGACCAACGGGGCUCAGAUGGAACCACAGUCCAAGCAAGCAUCUCCGACAGGCAAGAAGGAGUUGGGGGAGAAGGUCUCAGAUAGCACAGUGGAGGUGUCAAUUCACAACAGGCUUCAAACGUACCAGCACAACUCCGUCCUGGGGCCCGAGAGUGGAACGCAGGCCAGCACGCGUCCUAACAUGCCACGGGAGAGGCUGGAGACAGCAUUGGUACCCUCCUAUCCCGCCUCGGCGGGGACACUUGUACAGUGCCAGCAGAUUGUCAAAGUCAUUGUCUUGGACAAGCCGUGCCUCGCUCGUAUGGAGCCGGCCCUCAACCAGACUCUGACCCGCUACGUCUCCUCCGAUUCCUGCAGCUCCACCCCGUUGCGCAGUGCAGGCAGCGGGCUCCAAGGGACCCCAGUGAAAAUCAUCCAUCAGCCCCCACUUCCGCCUCCACCACCACCCUACAACCACCCACACCAGUACUGCCCCCCCAGUUCCCUGCUUCAUAGGCGUAGGUACUCCAGUGGAUCACGCAGUCUAGUGUAGCCACACCACCAGCACCACCAAACAGCACAGAUUUUCCCCGGGACCCUUUCUGUCUACAAAGAGAUCUAGUUUGGGAUUUAUUUUUUAGUAAAAGAGAAGAAAAACCAAGCCUGAACAGACCUAACUCCUCCCCAUCUGCCCUGAGAUGAUGGUAAUUGUGAAGAGCUCUUUAUAGAAACUGCCAGUCCUGGAGCUCACACUUCCACCUGAGCCUCCCGCCCAGCCGAUCACGCCAACUCACUCCAUGGACCCCACCAUAGUUCUUUGCCACCCUGCUCCCAGUGAGCUUGUUGAUUCUCUGCUUUGUUUGCUCUGUGUCUUCUGUUUGCUAUUUCGGCCCCUCUUUCUCCUCCUCACCCCUCUCCUCCACCUCGCCUGUCCCCUGCCACAGAUUUUAUCACACAAAACUUUGACGGGUUCUGAUGGGAACAGACUCACCUUUCAGGGCACCAACUUUGGGUAGAGCAUGGGUGGGGUGGGGUGGGGGGAGGAGCUACCGUCCCCAACACUGCUGCCGCCAUUGCUGCCUGCUAAGCUGGAGCUGAGAACUUGUGAGACUCAUCACAUGCUUCCGCCUCACAGCCCUUUGGUAUCUUCUCCUCUCACAGCAGCCAGUUCUGAGAGAGCGCGAGCAGGAGAAGGGGAGACUGUCCCAAGCUGUGGUAGAACCCAAUGAUGGCCUCACUUUGAACACCAAAAUGCUUUCUGUUGUUAAAUUGGGACACUGUACCACAAGAGCUUUGCUGAGACCCAGCAGAACUCAUCACAUGUAAAUACACCUGUGUGGUAGAGUAUGCUCGGCGCAUGCUUAGGAAAGGAAACACCAAGUUGUUCUGGGGGCACAGAAGGGAGAGAUUAGCUUUCUGGGGGGGCUGCUUUCUCAAAGAGCUAGCACGGUCUGGAUCCAGGGUGCUCGCGCACAGACAAACACACGGGUGGUCUUUUCUGGCACAAAGGAGUAUGCUCCCACACCUGGAGGACUCCCUCAGCCCCAACUGCACCCAUGUCCUCUCCAAGCUGAUUUUGUGUCUCCUUCUCACUGGAAUUUGUGCUCUUGAGAAAAAGCCAAAUGUUAAGUUCACCUUCUGGGAUGGAAAAUCCCUUCAUUUGGUCCUUUCCAUUCAGUGUUGCACGGAGGGGGAUGUUUGGAGCCAACCUUCCCGACAGCCUUGGGGACUCACGCUUUAAACACGGCCUCCUGCUUGGCUAGUCUGUUGCCCCCACUUAAAGCUCCCUUAUGGGAAUUUGGUCCUGUCCUCACACUCCCACCCUUUGCACACACUGGGAUCCCUCCCCCUCCCCCUAAGCCAACUUUCAGCGCUCCAGAGGGAGAUGACAGCUCAGCUCCUUUCGCUUAUCGGUCACACUGACAUGCAGAAAGCCGGCAUUAAAAUGGGCUAGGGCUGUAUUUUUAGAAAAAAAAUCUCCCCACGCAGCGGGGAGGAGCAGGUAUUAAUUAGCUUAAAGGCUUUGGUCUCGCUCGCUCGGCUUAAGCAGAGCAACUUUAGAAUUUGAAAAUAGGGCAGAACAAGUUUUAGGUCCUUAUUUUAGAUUUUUAAAAAGUGUGCGAGAGAGAGAGAGACGAUUUUUCCUUGCCACGUGUGGCUGAGACAUGGGAGCCCGGUGCUGGCUGGUGACACCGCAGUUUUCUUGUCGGUCACCUGGAGGUGCAGGAUUGUGGAGGACAGUGCUUGAUUCAUCAGGGAACGUAGGGUUGAGUCAGAUACAGGAGGGCUUUUUCCCCAGUUGGCUCCAUCCCCUUGAGUUCAGUGGGGCUAUUCGCAGAAGCGAAGGCUGUGAUCUGUCAGGCCCUGCAUGUCGGGCUGUCCCACAUCCUUUCACAUGUCAGUGGGCUCUGCCAGGACACUCGACUUGAAGGGCUUGUGAUCAUCCAGGGUUUGAACGGGAUCAGGAUGAAAAAGUUUCUGGAUCAGGGUCAUGAAAGCCCCACGCUGUGGGAUGUCAGCCUGACUCCCAGGCAGGGUUGCGGGGAGACACGCUGUAUUUCGCUGGGGCACCCAGGACCGUGCCUAGGUAUUGGCAAAAAGCCUGGUAACAAGCCCAGCGCUUGCUGCUCUAUCCCCACAUUUGGAACACACAUACACCCCGUUUCAGUGAGCGUCCCGUGUACACACACAUGCAGAUGCUGCUUUCUUGGCUUUGUUUUUCUGUCCGAAGCAGGAUGUAAUGCCUCCGCUUUUAUACUUAAUGCCAAAUACAGAUUAAAGGGAAACAAACAGGCACCACGCAGAGGAUGCUUAUGAUGAGCCCUCCCAGUCUGUGGGCAAGGCAGGGGCCUGGAAGCUGGUAAGGGCCCAAGAUUAGGAAGCUCUUGCUCCUGAGAAACUGCCCCCGCCCUUUAGUGGGACCAGUUUUAAGGCCCCCUCCUUUGCAGUGCUGAGCUUUCACUGCGGCCAAUGUUACAUGGCCUGACUUUCAGCUCCCCUCUCCUGCAGCGGGCUGUGAAAUGCAGACUGGUUCCCAUGCCCUCUGGCUUUGUAGUGAGGAGUAGGUGAGCCCUUCCAGACUAGCUAUAGGCAGGCUUUCGUUUGACUGGGCCUUAGCUUACUGGGAAAUCCUACAGGUGGAAUUUGCCAUCUCGCUGCCAGCUAGCAGUUAGUAGCAUUUUAUUUUUACCCACUGCUGAUGUGGAGAUGACAGUGUCUAAGCAUCUCUGGCAGUUUUCUUCCUUCUCCAGGCUUAUUCUCCCAGCCUUGAAGGAAGGCUGAUUUUUCCCAGAGUUCAUUAAGCCAGUGAAGGUUUGUGUGUGUUUAAAUAAAUUGGAUUUUAUUUGACACUUAACACAAAGUGACAACAAAACACCUUAAAGUAGUUGAUGAAAUAAUUAUUUUAGAUAAAAUAUUCAUAGCAAGGUGAAGUUCCUAGAAGAGAGAUUUGCAUUAUUAAUAAUUAAUUGGCGAAGUUAAGACAACAUAUAAAGCAGGAAGCUUUCCUGAGUCCUUCCCCCCACCCCCUUAACACUGGAUAAAGGACACCUCAGUUCAUAGGCUUUACGGUCAGAAGGGACCAUCAUGAUCAUCUAGUCUGGCCUGCGCAUCACAGGCCACAGACCCUCACCCACCCACUCCUGCACUAGGCCUGUAACCUCAGGCUGAGUUAUAGAACUCUUCAAAUCUUGAUUUAAAGGCUUCAAGUUACAGAGAAUCCAGAAGCAAGCUAACAGUAGGGCUAGGAUUGAUCAAUACAUGGGGUGAAGGGGUGUAGUAGGGUGAGGGAGCUCCACUUCCCUGACCUACCAAAGACUGCUUCUGGUAUGGAAAUUUGGUCAGGGAAGCAAUCACAUACCAUACCAACUCCUCUAGUUGGCUUCUACACUGCUGGACAUGCAGCCUGUUUCCGUGAAGGUUAAUUGGCAAGGGUUAUUUGGUUUAUUCCAGGAUUUUCCUUUAGUAGAAGGGGUUGCUUAAAAUCCAUUGUGUAGUGGAGCCCUCUGGGACUGUGACCAGAGACCCUCUGCUGAUUUUCCUUUGGGUUCAUCUAAGAGAGUUACAAGCACUUUAAAAUGUGUAUAUACACCAUCUGGCCUAUUGUACUCCUGUGCCCCACUACUCCCCAUCCACAGAUGGACAGACACACACACACACACUCAGUAUACUUAUAAUUCUGCAAGUAGACACCACUGCACAUAACCUGAUCACUUGCAGGGUGCCGUUAGACAAAGAGAUUGAACAAACAUUUUAGCGAAAGGCCUGGGGAAAAGCAAGAAACAAUCCACCCCUUGCUGUGAGAAACGUGGCCCAAAGAAAAUCACCAGCCCACACACAAUGGUUUUUCUGACUGUGAGACUGGCAGGAGAUUUUGGAUUGUGAGAUCAGGCAGGCGCCUGCUGCAGAAAUUAGAUAAGCCAAACUGAAGUGAUGAUUUGCUGCUGCAUUCAGAUCAUCGCAUAUUAAACAAACAACACAGCAUUGAACAGUAAUGGUCCAGCACACAAGGAGCAAAAAACCUCCUCUGGGGUAAAAACAAAGUGGAAGGCACUCUGUCCCUUUACAUUAGCCCAGAAGAUGUCUCUCUCUGGUCUUGAUUCUUCUCUUACACUUGUGUAAAUUAUCAGUAAUGUUGGCUGUUACCCCAGGGCAACACUGGUAUGAAAGAGAGAGAGGGGAGAAUCAGGCCAGCAGAUACAAGAGGAUUUGGGCCAUGGCUGUACAAUACUACAGUAUUUUUUUAAUAUGGAUUUUCAUAAAUCCCAGAAGGAAUUCCACAGCAUCCAUUGUUACCCUUUAUGUGUUUGGUCGUAAAGUGGAAGCUAACUGACUCCAAAUCCCCUUCUUCAAAAACUCAACCAUGUUCUGCAGUGUUUUGGGGCUAUUGGUCUAGAAUACUUGAGUAUUUUUUAGAAGGCUCAAUCUGGAAUUAUUGUCAUAUGUUUGUGGGGCUUCUAAAACACAGUUCAGUCCUGGCUGCCACGAGCUGCUACUUGGGAGAAUCUCUGCUUUGAAAUGGGGAAUGCAAAUCAGACUUCUUUGCUGACUUAGCUUAUGCUGCGCCCGCUGCUCUAGCAGCUCAUGCUAAGGACAGGAGCCUGGAGCUGCCAGAAAUGUUUCUUGGGAUCUAUUUGUAAUUGUCUAAAGGCUCUAGCCCAUUUUCUCCGGACCGCUUUUCAGCAGCCACGCCUGGGACAGCGGCUUUUACGGCAUCAGGGUCUCACACCUUCGCCACACGGCACAUCCCAUCUGAAUGUUUCUUUUUUAAAAACACAAAUGUUACCUAUGUGUAGGCUUUUGAGAGCACCUGUCUGUCUGUCUCUGUUUCCUGCUGUAAAUAUCCUUCCGAGCAGCUUCCUUUGGGAACAGCGGUGUGGUCACACCUAGCAAAGAAUCCAAAUGGCUAAUAUUUUGUAACAAAAAUAGACCAGAAGUAUUUUAUCUGUCCAAUUCAUAGAGUUUUAGAAAUUAUAUUGAGAUAUGUCA
This is a non-coding RNA of Chrysemys picta bellii (western painted turtle), 8521 nucleotides long. The record is from RefSeq and is a predicted model, not a curated record. NCBI's taxonomy places the organism in Eukaryota, Metazoa, Chordata, Testudines, Emydidae.